Molecule: ribosomal RNA, 574 nt
Filed under: Gyoerffyella tricapillata
Lineage: Eukaryota; Fungi; Ascomycota; Leotiomycetes; Helotiales; Discinellaceae
Description: eukaryotic LSU rRNA
Rfam family: 5.8S ribosomal RNA (bases 205-358)
Source: RNAcentral
AGUCGUAACAAGGUUUCCGUAGGUGAACCUGCGGAAGGAUUAAUUACAGAGUUCAUGCCCUUACGGGUAGAUCUCCCACCCUUGAAUAUUAUACCUUCGUUGCUUUGGCAGGCCGUGGAAACACCACGGGCUUCGGCGUGUGCGUGCCUGCCAGGGGAAACAAACUCUGUUUUUAGUGAUGUCUGAGUACUAUAUAAUAGUUAAAACUUUCAACAACGGAUCUCUUGGUUCUGGCAUCGAUGAAGAACGCAGCGAAAUGCGAUAAGUAAUGUGAAUUGCAGAAUUCAGUGAAUCAUCGAAUCUUUGAACGCACAUUGCGCCCCGUGGUAUUCCGCGGGGCAUGCCUGUUCGAGCGUCAUUUCAACCCAUCAAGCUCUGGCUUGGUCUUGGGGCCUGCGGUUCCGCAGCCUCUAAACUCAGUGGCGGUGCUAUUGAGCUCUGAGCGUAGUAAUUCUUCUCGCUAUAGGGUCUCGGUGGUGGCUUGCCAACAACCCCCAAUUUUUAUCAGGUUGACCUCGGAUCAGGUAGGGAUACCCGCUGAACUUAAGCAUAUCAAUAAGCGGAGGAAAAGAAC